AUCUUUGUGCAGUGGCAGUAUCAUAGCCAAUGAGGUUUAUCCAAGGCGCAAUUACUGCUCAUUGAGAAAGCAAGUAAGGGGAUCUCUUUGACAGGCAGGAAUUAGGUUCCUUAAUGUAGCAAAUGAAGGAACUCAGGGAGCUGA
Suricata suricatta (meerkat) is the source of this 144-nucleotide small nuclear RNA. Its record names the gene U4. It matches the Rfam family "U4 spliceosomal RNA". Rfam says of the family: U4 small nuclear RNA (U4 snRNA) is a component of the major U2-dependent spliceosome. NCBI's taxonomy places the organism in Eukaryota, Metazoa, Chordata, Mammalia, Carnivora, Herpestidae. The record is from Ensembl.